RNAcentral lists this ribosomal RNA (406 nucleotides) under uncultured bacterium. RNAcentral describes it as "partial 16S ribosomal RNA". It matches the Rfam family "Bacterial small subunit ribosomal RNA", at positions 30 to 526 of the family's 1533-position model. The record is from RNAcentral.
AUUGAACGCUGGCGGCAGGCCUAACACAUGCAAGUCGAACGAGUGGCGGACGGGUGAGGAAUGUAUGGGCAACUGCCUGAUGGAGGGGGAUAAGUACUGGACACGGUAGCUAAUAACGCAUACCAUAGGCUGGGCCCAGCUGGGAUGGGCUAGUGGGUGGGGUAAAGGCACACCUCGGCGCCGAUCCCUAGCUGGUCUGAGAGGAUGACCAGUCAAACUGGAACUUAGACACGGUCCAGACUCCUACGGGAGGCAGCAGUGGGGAAUAUUGGACAAUGGGCGAAAGCCUGAUGCAGCCAUGCCGCGUGUGUGAAGAAGGCCUUCGGAUUGUAAAGUACUUUAAGCUGGGAGGCGUUACCCGCAGAAGAAGCACCGGCUAACUCCGUGCCAGCCGCCGCGGUAAUAC